ACUGGGCGUAAAGAGUUGCGUAGGUGGCAUAGUAUGUCAGUAGUGAAAGCGUGUGGCUCAACCAUAUACACAUUACUGAAACUGCUAAGCUAGAGGACGAGAGAGGUUAUUGGAAUUCCUAGUGUAGGAGUGAAAUCCGUAGAUAUUAGGAGGAACACCGAUGGCGUAGGCAGAUAACUGGCUCGUUCCUGACACUAAGGCACGAAAGCGUGGGGAGCAAACGGGAUUAGAUACCCCGGUAGUCCACGCCGUAAACGAUGGAUGCUAGCUGUUAUAGGUAUCGACCCCUGUAGUAGCGAAGCUAACGCGUUAAGCAUCCCGCCUGUGGAGUACGGUCGCAAGACUAAAA
This 349-nucleotide ribosomal RNA is filed under the name uncultured Candidatus Saccharibacteria bacterium. Its description in RNAcentral is "bacterial SSU rRNA". It matches the Rfam family "Bacterial small subunit ribosomal RNA", at positions 553 to 899 of the family's 1533-position model. The record is from RNAcentral. Lineage: Bacteria; Candidatus Saccharimonadota.